CUGGUGAUCAUGCCGCCACUGGUGGCCCUGACUGCCGAGGGAACGGUAGCCUAGGACAGUUGGCUGUUAAGUGACACUUAUUCUCCCCGCCCCUCCCGACCCCCAAGAAGGAGGGACGUCCCCUGCCGUGUGAGGGGCUGGGGAAGUGGGUAGUGAAUUCGGAUCCACCUGGGAGGGGGGAGUGGAAGUUCCCGCCCCGGACAGCGGCGAGGCGGCAGCCACAGUUGAUUAUGGAAGAUUCCCACAAGAAUAACACUUCAGAGACAGCACCUCAGCCUGGUUCAGCAGUUCAGGGAGCCCAUAUUUCUCAUAUUGCUCAACAGGUAUCAUCUUUAUCAGAAAGUGAGGAGUCUCAGGACUCAUCUGACAGCAUAGGCUCCUCACAGAAAGCCCACGGGAUCCUAGCACGGCGCCCAUCGUACAGGAAAAUUUUUAAAGAUCUAUCUUCUGAAGAUACACGAGGCAGAAAAGGAGAUGGAGAAAACCCUGGAGUUUCUGCUGUCACUUCUAUGUCCGUUCCUACUCCCAUCUAUCAGACUAGCAGUGGACAGUACAUUGCCAUUGCCCCAAAUGGAGCCUUACAGUUGGCCAGUCCAGGGACAGAUGGAGUACAGGGACUUCAGACAUUAACCAUGACGAAUUCAGGCAAUACUCAGCAAGGCACAACUAUUCUCCAGUAUGCGCAGACCUCUGAUGGACAGCAAAUACUUGUGCACAGCAAUCAAGUGGUAGUACAGACGGCAUUGGGAGAUAUGCAGACAUAUCAGAUUCGUACCACACCUUCAGCUACUUCUCUGCCACAAACUGUGGUGAUGACAUCUCCUGUUACUCUUACAUCUCAGACAACUAAGACAGAUGACCCCCAAUUGAAAGGAGAAAUAAGGUUAAUGAAAAACAGAGAGGCUGCUCGAGAAUGUCGCAGAAAGAAGAAAGAAUAUGUUAAAUGCCUGGAAAAUCGAGUUGCAGUCCUGGAAAAUCAAAAUAAGACUCUAAUAGAAGAGUUAAAAACUUUGAAGGAUCUUUAUUCCCAUAAAAGUGUUUGAUUCUUAACAAAGAAAAUAUUUUUGUGGACUUGCCUAAAAUUAUAUUUGAUUUUUAGUGGAGUUUUAUAAAUUAAAAGGUCAGAAGUGGAGCUUUUUAUGUAGGCUUUUGCAACUCAAAUAUCUUUGUAAGAUAUCUGGUGACAGAGGAUAAAGUGGAAAGUGACCUCAAGGAAGCUACUGGCAAAACUGGAAGCUUUGUAAAAAUGAAACAUACUCAAGAAGCAAGAAACGAACUUUCAGCAAUUUGAAUUUUCUUUCUUUUUUUUUUUAAUUUGAAUUUUCUAAGUAACAAUAGUUGUCAGUCCAAAAAUGGCAGAUAAAGAUGAGAUUUGGUAAAUUGGAUUUUUAGAAGUAAAUCAGUUUACCCUAUAGGUUUGCAUUUCUUACUGUUUUUCUGAAAUUUACCUUUUUCAGUUUGUGUGUGUGUGUGUAUUUUAUUUCUGCCAAUACAUUCUAAAUUACAAAUGUAAAAGAAAACCUAACACAUUACUAAAUACAUAAAUUAUGUGUUCUGAUUACAUACACUUGUUCUAUUGUCGAAUCUUUUAAAAGAGUUUUUAAAAGUUUGUUUGUUGGACUUGAGAGAGUUUUUG
Molecule: non-coding RNA, 1636 nt
Organism: Microcebus murinus (gray mouse lemur)
Lineage: Eukaryota; Metazoa; Chordata; Mammalia; Primates; Cheirogaleidae
Source: RefSeq, a predicted model, not a curated record